Molecule: unclassified non-coding RNA, 341 nt
Filed under: soil metagenome
Description: partial contains 5.8S ribosomal RNA, internal transcribed spacer 2, and large subunit ribosomal RNA
Rfam family: 5.8S ribosomal RNA (bases 1-120)
Source: RNAcentral
GAUGAAGAACGUAGCGAAAUGCGAUAAGUAAUGUGAAUUGCAGAAUUCAGUGAAUCAUCGAAUCUUUGAACGCACAUUGCGCCCAUUAGUAUUCUAGUGGGCAUGCCUGUUCGAGCGUCAUUUGUACCCUCAAGCUUUGCUUGGUGUUGGGCGUCUUGUCUCUAGCUUUGCUGGAGACUCGCCUUAAAGUAAUUGGCAGCCGGCCUACUGGUUUCGGAGCGCAGCACAAGUCGCACUCUCUAUCAGCAAAGGUCUAGCAUCCAUUAAGCCUUUUUUUCAACUUUUGACCUCGGAUCAGGUAGGGAUACCCGCUGAACUUAAGCAUAUCAAUAAGCGGAGGA